This 407-nucleotide ribosomal RNA is filed under the name uncultured bacterium. RNAcentral describes it as "partial 16S ribosomal RNA". It matches the Rfam family "Bacterial small subunit ribosomal RNA", at positions 28 to 526 of the family's 1533-position model. The record is from RNAcentral.
GACGAACGCUGGCGGCGUGCUUAACACAUGCAAGUCGAACGAAGUGGCGAACGGGUGAGUAACGCGUAAUCAACCUGCCCUUCAGCGGGGCAAACAGGUUGAAACCACUGCUAAAUACGCAUACUGGAGGAGGGGGUUGCGUUGGAUUAGCUAGUUGGAGGGGUAACGGCCCACCAAGGCGAUGAUCAGUAGCCGGUCUGAGAGGAUGAACGGCCACAUUGGGACUGAGACACGGCCCAGACUCCUACGGGAGGGAGCAGUGGGGGAUCUUCCGCAAUGGACGAAAGUCUGGCGAAGCAACGCCGGGUGAGUGAUGACGGCCUUCGGGUUGUAAAGCUCUGUUAAUCGGGACGCGGUACCGGAAUAGAAAGCCACGGCUAACUACGUGCCAGCAGCCGCGGUAAUUC